CCUUUUGUAUAAUGGGUCAGCGACUUAUAUUCAGUGGCAAGGUUAACCAUCUAGGGGAGCCGUAGGGAAACCGAGUCUUAACUGGGCGUUCAGUCUCUGGAUAUAGACCCGAAACCAGGUGAUCUAGCCAUGGGCAGGUUGAAGGUUGAGUAACAUCAACUGGAGGACCGAACCGACUAAUGUUGAAAAAUUAGCGGAUGACUUGUGGCUAGGGGUGAAAGGCCAAUCAAACCUGGAGAUAGCUGGUUC
This 249-nucleotide ribosomal RNA is filed under the name Vibrio parahaemolyticus. RNAcentral's name for it is "partial 23S ribosomal RNA". It matches the Rfam family "Bacterial large subunit ribosomal RNA", at positions 604 to 855 of the family's 2925-position model. The record is from RNAcentral. Lineage: Bacteria; Pseudomonadati; Pseudomonadota; Gammaproteobacteria; Vibrionales; Vibrionaceae.